UCAGCUCUCAUUGCCUUUUGGCUUUGAUCAAGAUGCAGUAACUGUUCUUCUUAGUUUGAUCGCUAGGACGUGCCUACGGGUACACUACUGAUUAACCCCAUUUUUGGACACCGGGCUCUGGGCGCUGGGCUUGCUCAUCUCAGAGUCCACAGUGUCGUUCCUAUUGCACUACCUGGUCCUGACGCGAAAACCU
This 193-nucleotide small nuclear RNA is filed under the name Neofusicoccum parvum UCRNP2. Its description in RNAcentral is "U2 spliceosomal RNA". It matches the Rfam family "U2 spliceosomal RNA". Rfam says of the family: U2 is a small nuclear RNA (snRNA) component of the spliceosome (involved in pre-mRNA splicing). Complementary binding between U2 snRNA (in an area lying towards the 5' end but 3' to hairpin I) and the branchpoint sequence (BPS) of the intron results the bulging out of an unpaired adenosine, on the BPS, which initiates a nucleophilic attack at the intronic 5' splice site, thus starting the first of two transesterification reactions that mediate splicing. Lineage: Eukaryota; Fungi; Ascomycota; Dothideomycetes; Botryosphaeriales; Botryosphaeriaceae. The record is from Rfam by way of RNAcentral.